Molecule: small RNA, 530 nt
Filed under: Pan troglodytes (chimpanzee)
Lineage: Eukaryota; Metazoa; Chordata; Mammalia; Primates; Hominidae
Description: retained intron
Source: RNAcentral
GGAGUUGGUGCGGGGAGCCAGAAUCACCUACCAGUGUGACCCCGGCUAUGACAUCGUGGGGAGUGACACCCUCACCUGCCAGUGGGACCUCAGCUGGAGCAGCGACCCCCCAUUUUGUGAGAAAAUUAUGUACUGCACCGACCCCGGAGAGGUGGAUCACUCGACCCGCUUAAUUUCGGAUCCUGUGCUGCUGGUGGGGACCACCAUCCAAUACACCUGCAACCCUGGUUUUGUGCUUGAAGGGAGUUCUCUUCUGACCUGCUACAGCCGUGAAACAGGGACUCCCAUCUGGACGUCUCGCCUGCCCCACUGCGUUUGUGAGUCCUGUUUAUUGAAUUGGGCCCCCAGUAGGUAGAAGCAGAUUCACUUUCUCUUGUUCAUGAUGGAAGGCUGGGCUGCUAGGAGGCCUUCUGCUUUUUGACAGGAGCUUUUAUUAUCAUUACUAUGACAAAACAGUACCUAAAACUGAUUGGGAGCACACAUACUAUAAUAUUUACAGUAAAUUUAUCAUGCGUUGCUCUAAGUCUUCU